RNAcentral lists this ribosomal RNA (253 nucleotides) under uncultured bacterium. RNAcentral's name for it is "partial 16S ribosomal RNA". It matches the Rfam family "Bacterial small subunit ribosomal RNA", at positions 524 to 776 of the family's 1533-position model. The record is from RNAcentral.
UACGUAGGAUGCAAGCGUUGUCCGGAUUUAUUGGGUUUAAAGGGUGCGUAGGCGGCCUAUUAAGUUAGUGGUGAAAACGUUCGGCUUAACCGAAUACGCGCCAUUGAUACUGAUAGACUUGAGUGCGACAGAGGGUGUUGGAAUGAGUGGUGUAGCGGUGAAAUGCUUAGAUAUCACGCAGAACACCAAUUGCGAAGGCAGAUGCCUAUGUCGUAACUGACGCUGAGGCACGAAAGCGUGGGGAGCAAACAGG